UACAGAGGGGGCAAGCGUUGUUCGGAAUUACUGGGCGUAAAGGGCGCGUAGGCGGCCUGCUAAGUCGAACGUGAAAUCCCUGGGCUCAACCCAGGAACUGCGUCCGAUACUGGUUGGCUUGAAUCCGGGAGAGGGAUGCGGAAUUCCAGGUGUAGCGGUGAAAUGCGCAGAUAUCAGGAGGAACACCGGUGGCGAAGGCGGUUCUCUGGGAAUGACCCGACGCUGAGGAGCGAAAGUGUGGGGAGCGAACAGG
Molecule: ribosomal RNA, 253 nt
Filed under: uncultured bacterium
Lineage: Bacteria
Description: partial 16S ribosomal RNA
Rfam family: Bacterial small subunit ribosomal RNA
Source: RNAcentral